UACGGAGGGUGCGAGCGUUAAUCGGAAUUACUGGGCGUAAAGCGUGCGCAGGCGGUUUGUUAAGCGAGAUGUGAAAGCCCCGGGCUCAACCUGGGAACCGCAUUUCGAACUGGCAAACUAGAGUCUUGUAGAGGGGGGUAGAAUUCCAGGUGUAGCGGUGAAAUGCGUAGAGAUCUGGAGGAAUACCGGUGGCGAAGGCGGCCCCCUGGACAAAGACUGACGCUCAGGCACGAAAGCGUGGGUAGCAAACAGG
Molecule: ribosomal RNA, 253 nt
Filed under: uncultured microorganism
Description: partial 16S ribosomal RNA
Rfam family: Bacterial small subunit ribosomal RNA
Source: RNAcentral